UACAGAGGUGGCAAGCGUUGUUCGGAAUUACUGGGCGUAAAGGGCGCGUAGGCGGCUUGGUCAGUCCCGUGUGAAAUCCCUCGGCUCAACUGAGGAACUGCACGGGAAACUGCCUGGCUUGAGUUCGGGAGAGGGAAGCGGAAUUCCGGGUGUAGCGGUGAAAUGCGUAGAUAUCUGGAGGAACACCGGUGGCGAAGGCGGCAUCCUGGACCGGUAUUGACGCUGAGGCGCGAAAGCGUGGGGAGCGAACAGG
This 253-nucleotide ribosomal RNA is filed under the name uncultured bacterium. RNAcentral describes it as "partial 16S ribosomal RNA". It matches the Rfam family "Bacterial small subunit ribosomal RNA", at positions 524 to 776 of the family's 1533-position model. The record is from RNAcentral.